AGAGUUUGAUCCUGGCUCAGGAUGAACGCUGGCGGCGUGCCUAAUACAUGCAAGUCGAACGAGGUGCUUUUGUAGCAAUACGAAAGUAUCCUAGUGGCGAACGGGUGAGUAACGCGUGGGUAACCUACCCUUGAAUUGGGGAUAACUCCGCGAAAGCGGGGCUAAUACCGAAUAACAUUUCGAGGUCCUCGGACCUUGAAAUCAAAGAUGGCCUCUGCAUGCAAGCUAUCGUUUAAGGAUGGGCCCGCGUACCAUUAGCUAGUUGGUGGGGUAAAAGCCUACCAAGGCUACGAUGGUUAGCUGGUCUGAGAGGAUGGCCAGCCACACUGGAACUGAGACACGGUCCAGACUCCUACGGGAGGCAGCAGUGGGGAAUCUUGCGCAAUGGGGGAAACCCUGACGCAGCAACGCCGCGUGGGUGAUGAAGGCCUUCGGGUCGUAAAGCCCUGUCAGGUGGGAAGAAACAUGUUGAUGCCAAUACCAUCAACACUUGACGGUACCACCGGAGGAAGCACCGGCUAACUCCGUGCCAGCAGCCGCGGUAAUACGGAGGGUGCAAGCGUUGUUCGGAAUUAUUGGGCGUAAAGCGCGUGUAGGCGGUCAUGUAAGUCAGAUGUGAAAGCCUUCCGCUUAACGGGAGAAGUGCAUUUGAAACUGCAUGACUAGAGUACGGGAGAGGAGAGUGGAAUUCCCGGUGUAGAGGUGAAAUUCGUAGAUAUCGGGAGGAACACCAGUGGCGAAGGCGGCUCUCUGGAUCGAUACUGACGCUGAGACGCGAAAGCGUGGGGAGCAAACAGGAUUAGAUACCCUGGUAGUCCACGCUGUAAACGAUGGGCACUAGGUGUAGGAAGUAUUGACCCCUUCUGUGCCGAAGCUAACGCAUUAAGUGCCCCGCCUGGGGAGUACGGCCGCAAGGUAAAACUCAAGGAAUGACGG
Molecule: ribosomal RNA, 936 nt
Filed under: uncultured bacterium
Lineage: Bacteria
Description: bacterial SSU rRNA
Rfam family: Bacterial small subunit ribosomal RNA
Source: RNAcentral